This 2758-nucleotide ribosomal RNA is filed under the name Klebsiella pneumoniae. RNAcentral's name for it is "bacterial LSU rRNA". It matches the Rfam family "Bacterial large subunit ribosomal RNA". The record is from RNAcentral. Lineage: Bacteria; Pseudomonadati; Pseudomonadota; Gammaproteobacteria; Enterobacterales; Enterobacteriaceae.
CACUAUCGUUAACUGAAUACAUAGGUUAACGAGGCGAACCGGGGGAACUGAAACAUCUAAGUACCCCGAGGAAAAGAAAUCAACCGAGAUUCCCCCAGUAGCGGCGAGCGAACGGGGAGCAGCCCAGAGUCUGAAUCAGCUUGUGUGUUAGUGGAACGGUCUGGAAAGUCCGACGGUACAGGGUGAUAGUCCCGUACACCAAAAUGCACAGGCUGUGAACUCGAAGAGUAGGGCGGGACACGUGGUAUCCUGUCUGAAUAUGGGGGGACCAUCCUCCAAGGCUAAAUACUCCUGACUGACCGAUAGUGAACCAGUACCGUGAGGGAAAGGCGAAAAGAACCCCGGCGAGGGGAGUGAAAAAGAACCUGAAACCGUGUACGUACAAGCAGUGGGAGCACCUUCGGGUGUGACUGCGUACCUUUUGUAUAAUGGGUCAGCGACUUAUAUUCUGUAGCAAGGUUAACCGUAUAGGGGAGCCGCAGGGAAACCGAGUCUUAACUGGGCGUUAAGUUGCAGGGUAUAGACCCGAAACCCGGUGAUCUAGCCAUGGGCAGGUUGAAGGUUGGGUAACACUAACUGGAGGACCGAACCGACUAAUGUUGAAAAAUUAGCGGAUGACUUGUGGCUGGGGGUGAAAGGCCAAUCAAACCGGGAGAUAGCUGGUUCUCCCCGAAAGCUAUUUAGGUAGCGCCUCGUGAACUCAUCUUCGGGGGUAGAGCACUGUUUCGGCUAGGGGGUCAUCCCGACUUACCAACCCGAUGCAAACUACGAAUACCGAAGAAUGUUAUCACGGGAGACACACGGCGGGUGCUAACGUCCGUCGUGAAGAGGGAAACAACCCAGACCGCCAGCUAAGGUCCCAAAGUCAUGGUUAAGUGGGAAACGAUGUGGGAAGGCACAGACAGCCAGGAUGUUGGCUUAGAAGCAGCCAUCAUUUAAAGAAAGCGUAAUAGCUCACUGGUCGAGUCGGCCUGCGCGGAAGAUGUAACGGGGCUAAACCAUGCACCGAAGCUGCGGCAGCGACACUAUGUGUUGUUGGGUAGGGGAGCGUUCUGUAAGCCUGCGAAGGUGACCUGUGAGGGUUGCUGGAGGUAUCAGAAGUGCGAAUGCUGACAUAAGUAACGAUAAAGCGGGUGAAAAGCCCGCUCGCCGGAAGACCAAGGGUUCCUGUCCAACGUUAAUCGGGGCAGGGUGAGUCGACCCCUAAGGCGAGGCCGAAAGGCGUAGUCGAUGGGAAACAGGUUAAUAUUCCUGUACUUGGUGUUACUGCGAAGGGGGGACGGAGAAGGCUAUGUUAGCCGGGCGACGGUUGUCCCGGUUUAAGCAUGUAGGCUGAUUGUCCAGGCAAAUCCGGAUAAUCAAGGCUGAGGUGUGAUGACGAGGCACUACGGUGCUGAAGUAACAAAUGCCCUGCUUCCAGGAAAAGCCUCUAAGCAUCAGGUAACAUUAAAUCGUACCCCAAACCGACACAGGUGGUCAGGUAGAGAAUACCAAGGCGCUUGAGAGAACUCGGGUGAAGGAACUAGGCAAAAUGGUGCCGUAACUUCGGGAGAAGGCACGCUGGUGUGUAGGUGAAGCCCCCGCGGGUGGAGCUGAGACCAGUCGAAGAUACCAGCUGGCUGCAACUGUUUAUUAAAAACACAGCACUGUGCAAACACGAAAGUGGACGUAUACGGUGUGACGCCUGCCCGGUGCCGGAAGGUUAAUUGAUGGGGUUAUCCGUAAGGAGAAGCUCUUGAUCGAAGCCCCGGUAAACGGCGGCCGUAACUAUAACGGUCCUAAGGUAGCGAAAUUCCUUGUCGGGUAAGUUCCGACCUGCACGAAUGGCGUAAUGAUGGCCAGGCUGUCUCCACCCGAGACUCAGUGAAAUUGAACUCGCUGUGAAGAUGCAGUGUACCCGCGGCAAGACGGAAAGACCCCGUGAACCUUUACUAUAGCUUGACACUGAACAUUGAGCCUUGAUGUGUAGGAUAGGUGGGAGGCUUUGAAGCGUGGACGCCAGUCUGCGUGGAGCCAACCUUGAAAUACCACCCUUUAAUGUUUGAUGUUCUAACGUUGGCCCCUGAUCGGGGUUGCGGACAGUGUCUGGUGGGUAGUUUGACUGGGGCGGUCUCCUCCCAAAGCGUAACGGAGGAGCACGAAGGUUAGCUAAUCCUGGUCGGACAUCAGGAGGUUAGUGCAAUGGCAUAAGCUAGCUUGACUGCGAGCGUGACGGCGCGAGCAGGUGCGAAAGCAGGUCAUAGUGAUCCGGUGGUUCUGAAUGGAAGGGCCAUCGCUCAACGGAUAAAAGGUACUCCGGGGAUAACAGGCUGAUACCGCCCAAGAGUUCAUAUCGACGGCGGUGUUUGGCACCUCGAUGUCGGCUCAUCACAUCCUGGGGCUGAAGUAGGUCCCAAGGGUAUGGCUGUUCGCCAUUUAAAGUGGUACGCGAGCUGGGUUUAGAACGUCGUGAGACAGUUCGGUCCCUAUCUGCCGUGGGCGCUGGAGAAUUGAGGGGGGCUGCUCCUAGUACGAGAGGACCGGAGUGGACGCAUCACUGGUGUUCGGGUUGUCAUGCCAAUGGCACUGCCCGGUAGCUAAAUGCGGAAGAGAUAAGUGCUGAAAGCAUCUAAGCACGAAACUUGCCCCGAGAUGAGUUCUCCCUGAGACUUUAAGUCUCCUGAAGGAACGUUGAAGACGACGACGUUGAUAGGCCGGGUGUGUAAGCGCAGCGAUGCGUUGAGCUAACCGGUACUAAUGAACCGUGAGGCUUAACCUU